AUUGAACGCUGGCGGCAGGCCUAACACAUGCAAGUCGAACGGUAACAGGAAGAAGCUUGCUUCUUUGCUGACGAGUGGCGGACGGGUGAGUAAUGUCUGGGAAACUGCCUGAUGGAGGGGGAUAACUACUGGAAACGGUAGCUAAUACCGCAUAACGUCGCAAGACCAAAGAGGGGGACCUUCGGGCCUCUUGCCAUCGGAUGUACCCAGAUGGGAUUAGCUAGUAGGUGGGGUAACGGCUCACCUAGGCGACGAUCCCUAGCUGGUCUGAGAGGAUGACCAGCCACACUGGAACUGAGACACGGUCCAGACUCCUACGGGAGGCAGCAGUGGGGAAUAUUGCACAAUGGGCGCAAGCCUGAUGCAGCCAUGCCGCGUGUAUGAAGAAGGCCUUCGGGUUGUAAAGUACUUUCAGCGGGGAGGAAGGGAGUAAAGUUAAUACCUUUGCUCAUUGACGUUACCCGCAGAAGAAGCACCGGCUAACUCCGUG
This 490-nucleotide ribosomal RNA is filed under the name uncultured bacterium. RNAcentral describes it as "partial 16S ribosomal RNA". It matches the Rfam family "Bacterial small subunit ribosomal RNA", at positions 30 to 507 of the family's 1533-position model. The record is from RNAcentral.